RNAcentral lists this ribosomal RNA (1260 nucleotides) under Xylaria sp. ARIZ FL1734. RNAcentral describes it as "eukaryotic LSU rRNA". The stretch from base 728 to 1260 matches the Rfam family "Eukaryotic large subunit ribosomal RNA", at positions 1 to 544 of the family's 3401-position model. The record is from RNAcentral. Lineage: Eukaryota; Fungi; Ascomycota; Sordariomycetes; Xylariales; Xylariaceae.
AGAGUUUAAUAAAACUCCUAAACCCCUGUGAACUUACUGGUGUUUGGCUCGCCAGAUAUAGUCUGGUCCGUAAGCAAAUCGACUGCCUGCCUGUGUAACAGGCAGGUAAGCUUUUGUCGCGGGGUCCCGGAUCAACCCGGGCUAGAUAGCCACUUAACUAUAUACUUUUUAUAAAAUCUGUGAACUUACUAGGUUGGAUUCUCGCCAGAGAUAGUCUGGUUUCUGCUUCGCGGAUCGCCUACCCGUGACACCUGUCACAGGCAGGUAUGCUUCUGCCGCGGGUCCGUAAGUAAAUCAUCUGUUUCGCAAGGGACGGCGAUUUACCUGUGGAAGAGGUCCUCUAACUAUAUUCUUAGUAUAGUUUGUUCACUAGAUCAAACAUUCUGAAUAAAAACUUAAACUAGUUAAAACUUUCAACAACGGAUCUCUUGGUUCUGGCAUCGAUGAAGAACGCAGCGAAAUGCGAUAAGUAAUGUGAAUUGCAGAAUUCAGUGAAUCAUCGAAUCUUUGAACGCACAUUGCGCCCAUUAGUAUUCUAGUGGGCAUGCCUGUUCGAGCGUCAUUUCAACCCUUAAGCCCCUGUUGCUUAGCGUUGGGAGCCUACAGCCUGCUGUAGCUCCUUAAAGGUAGUGGCGGAGUCGGUUCACACUCUAGACGUAGUAAAAUCUUUAUCUCGCCUAUGGAUGAGCCGGCGCCUUGCCGUAAAACCCCUAAUCUUUCACAAGGUUGACCUCGGAUCAGGUAGGAAUACCCGCUGAACUUAAGCAUAUCAAUAAGCGGAGGAAAAGAAACCAACAGGGAUUGCCCUAGUAACGGCGAGUGAAGCGGCAACAGCUCAAAUUUGAAAUCUGGCCUUCGGGUCCGAGUUGUAAUUUGCAGAGGAUGCUUUGGGCGCGGUGCCUUCCGAGUUCCCUGGAACGGGACGCCUUAGAGGGUGAGAGCCCCGUACGGUUGGACACCAAGCCUCUGUAAAGCUCCUUCGACGAGUCGAGUAGUUUGGGAAUGCUGCUCUAAAUGGGAGGUAAAUUUCUUCUAAAGCUAAAUAUUGGCCAGAGACCGAUAGCGCACAAGUAGAGUGAUCGAAAGAUGAAAAGCACUUUGAAAAGAGGGUUAAAUAGCACGUGAAAUUGUUGAAAGGGAAGCGUUUACGACCAGACCUUUUCGCAGCGGAUCAUCCGGUGUUCUCACCGGUGCACUUCGCUGGGUUGAGGCCAGCAUCGGUUUCCGCAGGGGGAUAAAAGCCUGGGGAACGUAGCUCCC